AUUUUCCUUGGGCAAGUCUUGAAGAAAUCCCGCCAAAGUGGUACAAUUGUGCAUAUCUCUCGUUUGGUGCUCUGCUGUACUGUUUCACUGAAUCGGCUUCUGCACCUGUCUUACAUAUGUUAUUUUAUUUUGUAUGGAAAGAGUCUAAUAUGAAGUAAAAAAAAAAAAAAAAAGAGGAAGGAGAAAAAGUAAAGGUAAAUGAAAGUUUGACCAUUAGAAAAAUCAGCAAACGGGUUAAGACUUUGGGGAAAACGACAUAAAACAACUUAAGGGGGUAAAUACCACAUAAUACCACAUCUUGAAGUAAAACUGAAUGCAAACACUGCUAUUAGAAUUAAAGGAAGUGUAGUGAAAUGUUCUCAUUGAUAUUUCUUUACUAAUUUACUAAUACUUACCUUGGUGAAGUGGACUCGAGUGUUGAAUUUUUGUUUCUCCAUAGCUGAACUGUUUAGUCACAAGUCACUGAAAUAUUCUUAACAUUUUUAUUGAUUAUAAACUUAUAACAAAUUACUAAAAAACUGAAGGAGAGGCAUGCAUAAACUACAAUUUUCUGCAGAUGUUAUCAGACUGUGGAUGAGGUGUUCUCUUUUGUCUAGCAAUCCAAACCAAGCCUCAGCCUUUGUUUUGUUACAUCAGCUGAUUUGUGUUUCAAGCCGUAAAACAAGAUGACUAUUCAAAGCAAGUCAGAUAGUGUAUUGCUGUUUAUAAUUGGUAGAACAGAUUGAACAUGUAAAGGGAUAUUAAAGUAGUAUCCGUCAAAUACAAUUUAAGACUAAGCUACGAAAUGUUACUGGUUAUGGUGAAGGGUACUUUCUUUUUUUUAAACAUGAUUUUUCGCUCCUAUGGCAGAAUGCAAGUUCAAUUUUGGUCGAGUUAUGGAUGCAACUAAUUCAAAAUGGUGGUUUAGCAGAGGUUUGUUUAGCUUUGAAUUUUAAAGAUUGUUUUUACUUUUAGAUGCAGUUGCGUUGAUGCAAUUUAGUUUAAAACACAAGCCAAAGAUAAAGUAACUUUUCUGAACGUGUAAUAUCCCUGAAUUGCUGUUGAUUUGGCUGUACCCCUCAAGGCUCCUCCCUCCCUGCCUCCCACCCCUUGAGGCCUUGUCAGACCACCUUACUUUUUGUAUAAAGGCUGGUCUGGAGGUCGAGCGGUGCUGUCUGCGGGUGGUGCUGAAACUACAGAUGCUCAUUUAGCCAUGUGGUCACUAGUGCUGGUUCUUAUAGAUCCACGUCUGGGAGCUGCAGAACCUUCUUUUCCUACCUUGUGAUCCUAACAUCACACAGCCUGACUCCUCCCAAGUACCAGAUAAAACUGCAUGUCCACAACCUAAAGGAAUUUCGUUUACUCCUGAGAGAUCUGAAGAAGUUUCUUCUGCUCUAGGGUCUGAGGAAUUUAUGUGGGAGGAAUUACCAGAAAGUUAUGGUUUUAUGUGGGAGGAAUUACCCGAAAGUUAUGGUUGUGGGCGCAACAGACUUGUAAGUGUGUAGACAUUGUGUUGCUGAUGUGUAGGAUCAAGGGAUGGAAUGUUUUUUUUUUUUUGUACUGUGGGUGUGGGUUGUACACUGUUUGUGGCAAAAUCCAUUAGAUAAAAGUACAAUCCUGUGCAAAAUACUCUACUCAGCCUUUGGUUCCAACACAUUCUAUUUAUCUGACUUCCACAUUUUCAAGGAGUGGAAGUGUGAUCAACUUUAAUGCUGUAAAAAGGUUUUGUAACUGCAGGAAACAAGCAGGUACACAGUCUGUUCUCUUCUGUUGUAAUUUCCAAUUGAACUCCAAUUUCUCUGAUUUCCAUUCAGAAGCUGAACAGCUUUGAAAAGCAUGCUAACUUGCCAUCUGUUUUUACAGCUAUUUAUGUAUGGAAAUUUUUCACAUUUUACUUGUUUGCCAAAAAAUUAUAGGACAUUUGAAUAAACAUUUCCACUUGUUUUGCAGACCACUGAAUGCUAAUAUAAAUGUAUUCCUUCAUUGUUCUGUUUCAUUAAAACAGUUACAAUUAGCAAAUGUGAACUUGUCGUAUUAAAUUAAACACACAUUUUGCAUUUACA
This is a long non-coding RNA of Protopterus annectens (West African lungfish), 2042 nucleotides long. RefSeq lists it as uncharacterized. The record is from RefSeq and is a predicted model, not a curated record. Lineage: Eukaryota; Metazoa; Chordata; Ceratodontiformes; Protopteridae. The transcript has 2 exons.